GUUGGAAACCCAUGAUGGCGAGGGUUGUGCAAUGCGGGAGGGACUGACUCACUCCCUCUAGGAGGACCCACCACUCCAGACGAAGCACAAACCUUUAUCGACUCUUCUCUAGGAUGCCGGUGGUGCCGGGAUGGGAAUCAUGCAUCUUGUGGUCUCCAGACACAGCUGAGCUAGAAUGGAAUACCCUACAGGCACCAUGAUGAAUCCUGAAUGGGAUCAGCAAGGAAAUAAGCAGGGACACCAAGGAUGAGGCACAUGCUGGCACUCGCCCAGCCACCUCGAACCCUGCAGAGUGCCUGCAAUUCUCCACCUUCUUCCUCAUACCCACCACUAGCCAGGCCGCUCAACUCGGCCUCCUGGCCUGGCUCCCUGUGUUACCGUGGGUCCCUGAGGGGAUGUCCAGGCAGGAACUCGAAGCAGCUACUCCCAGCCCAUCCACAGUCAAGAGCAAAGAAAGAAAAUAAACACCCUGCCUCACUG
Molecule: non-coding RNA, 480 nt
Organism: Peromyscus maniculatus bairdii (prairie deer mouse)
Lineage: Eukaryota; Metazoa; Chordata; Mammalia; Rodentia; Cricetidae
Source: RefSeq, a predicted model, not a curated record